UACGGAGGGUGCAAGCGUUGUCCGGAUUUAUUGGGUUUAAAGGGUGCGUAGGCGGUUCUUUAAGUCUGGGGUGAAAGCCCACUGCUCAACAGUGGAACUGCCCUGGAAACUGGAGAACUUGAGUACAGACGAGGGCGGCGGAAUGGAUGGUGUAGCGGUGAAAUGCAUAGAUACCAUCCAGAACCCCGAUUGCGAAGGCAGCUGCCUAGACUGUAACUGACGCUGAGGCACGAAAGCGUGGGGAGCGAACAGG
This 253-nucleotide ribosomal RNA is filed under the name uncultured bacterium. RNAcentral describes it as "partial 16S ribosomal RNA". It matches the Rfam family "Bacterial small subunit ribosomal RNA", at positions 524 to 776 of the family's 1533-position model. The record is from RNAcentral.